Molecule: ribosomal RNA, 432 nt
Filed under: uncultured archaeon
Lineage: Archaea
Description: bacterial SSU rRNA
Rfam family: Archaeal small subunit ribosomal RNA
Source: RNAcentral
UACUAGCUCUCCGAGUGGUGUGGAUGUUUAUUGGGCCUAAAGCAUCCGUAGCUGGCUGGGCAAGUCCCCUGUUAAAUCCACUGAUUUAAUCAUUGGAGUGCGGGGGAUACUGCUCGGCUAGGGGACGGGAGAGGCAGACGGUAUUUUCGGGGUAGGGGUGAAAUCCUAUAAUCCCGGGAAGACCACCAGUGGCGAAGGCUGUCUGCUAGAACGCGCCCGACGGUGAGGGAUGAAAGCUGGGGGAGCGGACCGGAUUAGAUACCCGGGUAGUCCCAGCUGUAAACGAUGCAGGCUAGGUGUUUGGGCGGCCACGUGCCGCUCUAGUGCCGCAGGGAAGCCGUUAAGCCUGCCGCCUGGGGAGUACGGCCGCAAGGCUAGAAAACUUAAAGGAAUUGGGCGGGGAGCACCACGAAGGGGUGAAGCUUGCGGUUU